AGCUCCAAUAGCGUAUAUUAAAGUUGCUGCAGUUAAAAAGCUCGUAGUUGCAUUUCCGAGGCAAGGGAUUAGUCCGACCUUUGGUGGGUAUUUAAUCCUCUUGCCUCGUCCUUGAGUGGUGCUUCUUGGUAUUAAGUUAUCGAGGAGAUAGCCGCUCAUCGUUUACUGUGAGAAAAUUAGAGUGUUCAAAGCAGGCUUAUGCCGUUGAAUAUAUUAGCAUGGAAUAAUAAGAUAGGACCUCGGUACUAUUUUGUUGGUUUGAGAUCCGAGGUAAUGAUGAAUAGGGACAGUUGGGGGUAUUCGUAUUCAGUUGUCAGAGGUGAAAUUCUUAGAUUUACGGAAGACGAACUACUGCGAAAGCAUUUACCAAGGAUGUUUUCA
This 381-nucleotide ribosomal RNA is filed under the name uncultured marine Chaetocerotaceae. RNAcentral describes it as "SSU rRNA". It matches the Rfam family "Eukaryotic small subunit ribosomal RNA", at positions 587 to 972 of the family's 1831-position model. The record is from RNAcentral. Lineage: Eukaryota; Bacillariophyta; Thalassiosirophyceae; Chaetocerotales; Chaetocerotaceae.